CCAAGGUGUCUUGGAAUUCCAUGCAUAAAACCUUUGUUGAACUUCAAGGUUUCAUCUAGAGCCGAGAGAAGUUCAAUCAACAGCAGGAGAAAGAUAUAUGUUAUGUUUUGCUGAGUGUUGACAAAAGGAUGUUAUACACAAGUGGAAGCUGGAUAACACUUGUUGAUCAAUCUGAUCUCUUACUGAUACACUUUGAGCAGAUAAUCUCCUCCGGUUCUAGUGAUGCCCUCUCAAAAAAUGUCAUUUGUGAGUUUGUGUGUAGAGAUGCCAGUGACCCUUAGCUUAACGGGUUAUGGCUAGCCUGUGUAAGAUUUGAGAUCUCGAAAACAACUCUGUUGAUCUCAUGCAAAGAAACC
Long non-coding RNA from Ipomoea nil (Japanese morning glory), 356 nucleotides. RefSeq lists it as uncharacterized. Lineage: Eukaryota; Viridiplantae; Streptophyta; Magnoliopsida; Solanales; Convolvulaceae. The record is from RefSeq and is a predicted model, not a curated record. The transcript is spliced from 2 exons.